This 631-nucleotide long non-coding RNA is filed under the name Bos taurus (domestic cattle). RNAcentral describes it as "long non-coding RNA NONBTAT007358". The record is from RNAcentral. Lineage: Eukaryota; Metazoa; Chordata; Mammalia; Artiodactyla; Bovidae.
CUUAAAUAGGUUGGCGUAUUAAGUUCUCAGCAUAUAUCUCUAUUGUCUUGGCUUGAGUUUGAUGCAUUUUCUAUGUGCUAUUCGUGACUUGGAGAACUCAAGGUAAUUGAGCCAUGCCAACCUGGGGUGUGAACAGAAUCUUUCCCACCCCAGUGUUGCAAGGGAGAGCAAAAUCUCAGCAACAAGCCAGCCCCCUUCUUUUGGCAACUCACAGCUUCUUACUUGAGAAGCCCCCUUCUUUUGGCAACUCACAGCUUCUCACUUGAGAAGCUCUCAUCUGAGCCAACACUCCUAAGAUCACUACACAUGGCCUCCUUAAACCCCUCUUACACUAAAGGCUUGGGCUCUUAUUUUAUUUUUGCAUGGGAACCUGAGGAAGGAAAUGUAUUGCUAAGACUUUACUAGAUUCAGAUCAUCUGGGGCCUCUAGAUAAUUGACUUGAUGAAACGAGCAAAGCCCUGACCCCCAGCAACGUGCCUACAACUUCUGGAAGUUGCUUUCUGAGCAGCACAGACCAGGGCAGUGAGUUUUUCUUUGAAAUGUGCUUGUUCUUUUUCAAACACUGUGAGGUUCUUUACUUUGCCUUCCUACCUGUGCUGAAAUAAAACCAAAACAGGUUAUUUGGUUCUGC